RNAcentral lists this ribosomal RNA (453 nucleotides) under uncultured bacterium. RNAcentral's name for it is "bacterial SSU rRNA". It matches the Rfam family "Bacterial small subunit ribosomal RNA", at positions 29 to 506 of the family's 1533-position model. The record is from RNAcentral.
AUGAACGCUAGCGGCGUGGAUAAGGCAUGCAAGUCAAACGGUCCGUCUUCGGACGGGCAGUGGCAAACGGGUUAGGAACACGUAGAUACAUUCCACUAAGACAGGCAUAACUCAGAGAAAUCUGAGCUAAUUCCUGAUAGUCCCUGCGAGCAAUCAAAGGGUAAAGGUUUCGCAAGACUCCACUUAGUGAUUGGUCUGCGGCCUAUCAGCUAGUUGGUGAGAUAAUAGCCCACCAAGGCAAUGACGGGUAGGCGGGGUGAGAGCCCGACCGCCAACAAGGGUAUUGAGAUACGGACCCUACUCCUACGGGAGGCAGCAGUCAAGGACCCUUCGCAAUGGUCGAAAGACUGACGGGGCGACGCCGCGUGAAGGAUGAAGCCCUGCGGGGUGUAAACUUCUUUUAUAUGUCAAGAAAAUGACGGUAGCAUAUGAAUAAGCACCGGCUAACUCCGU